UCUAACUCUUAGGCCUCUCUAACUUGAACAUCAUUUUACGUUACUAUUUUGCAGUGGUGGGCAUCAGGAUUUAUUUUGCCCGUUAUAGGAUAGAUGUAUGCAGAUUGAAAACCAAUGAUUUCUUUCAUUUAAUAGCAUGCAUCUACAGAAAGAAAGAAAAAUACUCAGAAGAAGACUCUUUGAUGAUGCCUUGGUUUUCUACUGACCUUUACAAGUUCAUGUACAAAUAUGUCAACAUAGUUUUCUAUUUGUUCAGAUGAUUGUUGGGCUGCAAUGAAUCAGGUUGAUAAGGGUAAUUGGUGACAAAGAAAUCCACAUUUCCUUCUAGCAUCAAAGCUUUUACAGAUUAUUUCCACAAGGUCUUAAGCUUUGAAUUUACUCAUAUGCAGGGUAUUUCACUUGUAGCAAGAAGAUGCCUGAUCCAGAACAGUUUCAAGAAGAAUAGAAAGAGUUGAAGAAAAUACAAGUUUUUAAGGAAGUGUUACUUUGAUAAAAUAGAAGGUUAGUAAAAGAGACUAUUUAUAUUUGGAUUCAAGGCUAUGUGACUGUGUGGAUACACAUACAUGGCUGACAUAUAUUGAACUGUGGAACUUGAUUGUACUUUUGACAUUAAAAGCAAAUCAGAGAACUGCAUAUAAGAGAAUUUACUAAGACCUCUUAGUGAAAAAGAGACUGCUGAGAAAGAAACAUAAGCUCUUAUUGUAGUAGAUUAGUUCAAAGUUGAAUAUCAAUGAAAGGAUGAUAAGUGGUGAUGCAACUCAAGAAAGUGUAUUUGAGGAUACGAGGAAACAUCUUAGUAUACAAACUUAUAGAUCAUAAGACAUGUCUUAUUGGAACAUACAUAAUCAUUUCUUAAAUUCAUUACUAUUUUCUUUUUUACUUGCACUAGGUGCAUUUUGCCGUAGAUUGUUAUAAUGUAUGAAUAUUUGCUUACAGUCAAACUGAUUUUGGAAAGACAUCUAUAUGGACCAAUCAUUGUCCUAUGAAACUGAAACUGCUCAGAGACUAAGCAAAUCAGUUUUGAUUCCAAAACUAUUAAUUGAAAUCAAAAUAGGCUUUAAAAUCAUAACAAAGAAACGGUUUUCCUCAACGUAACUGAAGUAAAUAUCAAUCAAAAUUAUAUUUAAUGUAAUAUUAAAUUUAUCAAUCAAUGAUCAAAUAAGACUUGUAUGCCACUAUUUAUGUUCCAAUAGCCUCUCACCAAUGGCAAUCAAGUUAAAAAGAAUUGACCAAAGCAAUUAAAA
Molecule: long non-coding RNA, 1244 nt
Organism: Lotus japonicus
Lineage: Eukaryota; Viridiplantae; Streptophyta; Magnoliopsida; Fabales; Fabaceae
Exons: 5
Source: RefSeq, a predicted model, not a curated record